CCUACGGGUGGCAGCAGUAGGGAAUAUUGCACAAUGGGGGAAACCCUGAAGCAGCGACGCCGCGUGAGGGAAGAAGGAUCUCGGAAUGUAAAGCUCUAUCGUCAGGGAAGAAAAUGACGGUAUCUGACGAAGAAGCCCCGGCUAACUACGUGCCAGCAGCCGCGGUAAUACGGAGGGGGCAAGCGUUAUCCGGAUUUACUGGGUGUAAAGAGAGCGUAGACGGGGCUGCAAGUCCGAUGUGAAAUCCCAUGGCUUAACCAUGGUACUGCAUUGGAAACUGUUGUUCUAGAGUAUGGGAGGGGCAGGUGGAAUUCUUGGUGUAGGGGUAAAAUCCGUAGAGAUUAGGAGGAACACUCACGGCGAAGGCGACCUGCUAGACCGUAACUGACGUUGAGGCUCGAAAGCGUGGGGAGCAAACAGGAUUAGAUACCCGGGUAGUC
This 440-nucleotide ribosomal RNA is filed under the name uncultured bacterium. RNAcentral describes it as "partial 16S ribosomal RNA". It matches the Rfam family "Bacterial small subunit ribosomal RNA", at positions 338 to 795 of the family's 1533-position model. The record is from RNAcentral.